This 1086-nucleotide long non-coding RNA is filed under the name Chrysolophus pictus (golden pheasant). Its description in RNAcentral is "lncRNA (ENSCPIG00010011914.1)". Lineage: Eukaryota; Metazoa; Chordata; Aves; Galliformes; Phasianidae. The record is from RNAcentral.
UUUGACUUUUCCUUUUGAUAUUUAUCAGUCACACUAAUGUGCUUUUGCUCCCUUUGAAGUCGCUUGCAUCUCCACACAUGUUUGCUGCCGCUCUGAGACACGUUUUAUCCCAGACUGCUGAGGACACCCAUGAAGAGUCAUGGCAGGGAAGCAGCCCCUCUGCCUGUUCCCUGGCAGAAAACUGCACGGGGAAGGUCUCUGCUCCUUCCCAGACAGAUUCCUGCUUCCCACCAGGUGCCAAAGGCUCAUUUCCUGCAGACCAGAAAGGAAGAUUUUUGGAGCUGCCGAGAGAAGCGUAAUAGUUCAAAUCAACAGUUUGCUGCUAGUGCUGAAGAAGCCUGCUCUGCACGUUAGGCAGUAAACAAACUGCUCCGAGGAAGAAAGGCCUGUUUAUAAAAGCUCCUCUUGACAUUCGCCUCCUCAAACAUAGCAAAGCAUGUGCUAGAAACAGUUGCAUGAAUGAUCGAGUCUGUUUUGAGUCUCCUCUCUUCAACAACCAAGGAAAUCCCUAUGUACAAACAUUUAAACUGUAACAUCUGGAGCGCAGUAAUUUUAUCUUGAAGAUCCACAUCAAACAAACUUGCAGCUCAGCCCAAGAAGAUAUACAAAUACUUCCCCAAGGAGAGCUCGCUCUUACACCCUGGAUACCAGGAGACUUGUGAUUUAAAAGCAAGAUAAUUCAGCAUCCCUUUAUCCACACCUGACAAGAAUGCUUUCAGUGGGCGUUAGCAUGAAAUUAUCGCUCUUAACCAUGCCCAACGAAAAAGAGAUUUGUCCCAAUUAUUCAACGCAGGCUUCGAAACACCCAGCUUAAAAUUUCCAACCCCAGAAGCCCUGUGUGCCAUUUGCAGCUGGAGCUUCACCCAAGAAAUUUCACUUGGGCUGCACUAUUCUCUGUGCAGCUGAAUGGCUAAAAUAAGCACCCAGCCAUAUAUAGCGCACUAUGUUGGCACUCACAGCGGUUGGGAACGACUGGAUUCAAUUUUCCAUGGAAGAUGACAAUUAAAAUUGCUUUCUUUGGUCUAUCCCAUCCUUUAUGUUGUUUUUCUGUGCUCUCCAAGUGCAGAGUAAAUUUAGGAUGCCGAG